Molecule: ribosomal RNA, 254 nt
Filed under: uncultured bacterium
Lineage: Bacteria
Description: partial 16S ribosomal RNA
Rfam family: Bacterial small subunit ribosomal RNA
Source: RNAcentral
UACGAAGGGGGCUAGCGUUGCUCGGAAUCACUGGGCGUAAAGCGCACGUAGGCGGGUCUUUAAGUCGGUGGUGAAAUCCUGGAGCUCAACUCCAGAACUGCCUCCGAUACUGAGGAUCUUUGAGUCCGGGAGAGGUGAGUGGAACUGCGAGUGUAGAGGUGAAAUUCGUAGAUAUUCGCAAGAACACCAGUGGCGAAGGCGGCUCACUGGCCCGGUACUGACGCUGAGGUGCGAAAGCGUGGGGAGCAAACAGG